Molecule: long non-coding RNA, 5057 nt
Organism: Eriocheir sinensis (Chinese mitten crab)
Lineage: Eukaryota; Metazoa; Arthropoda; Malacostraca; Decapoda; Varunidae
Exons: 9
Source: RefSeq, a predicted model, not a curated record
UCUCUCUCUCUCUCUCUCUCUCUCUCUCUCUCUCUCUCUCUCUCUCUCUCUCUCUCUCUCUCUCUCUCUCUCUCUCUCUCUCUCUCUCUCUCUUUUGCCGUCUAGUUUAAUAAAAAUACUUAAAUUUCCUUCAGGCAUCUCCGGCCUUUGAAAUAUGUAAUGGUAAUAAAGCACACACACACACACACACACACACACACACACACACACACACACGAACGCAUGCACGCACACACAUUCAUCCAUGCACGUAUACACGCACUUACGCACACACGCAUGCACACACUUUAUGCACGCCCGCAUGCAGGUACCUAUGCAUGCACUCACACACGGAUGUACGCAUUCACAUACUAACACAUACGCAUGUCACUACUAAUACUACUACUACUACUACCACUACUGCUACCACUACCAUGACUCUUACACCAGGUUUUGUUCAUAUUAUUUCUCUCCUAGCCGUUCUCCUCCUCCUCCUCCUCCUCCUCCUUCUCGCUCCUUUGAUGUCCUUUGUUGUCUGUGAUGUGUUCUAUCUUCCUCGCCGGCCACUACAACACAACACAACACAACACAACACACGGCAGCACAAUAAUCCACUACUACACACGCGGCCACACGAAUACUGCAACACUGUGCCCAAGUAACACACACACACACACACACACACACACACACACACACACACACACACACACACACACACACACACACACAUUAGUUUUGCACAGUCUGUAAUUCCCCUUUAUCCGUGACCCUCCUGGCAGCACUACACUUCUCUUACUUCCCUUCACUUACCUGCCCUUUCUCUCUCUCUCUCUCUCUCUCUCUCUCUCUCUCUCUCUCUCUCUCUCUCUCUCUCUCUCUCUCUCUCUCUCUCUCUCUCUCUCUCUCUCUCUCUCUCUCUCUCUCUACCUGUUCAAUUACGCACCUGGUUCAAUUAUUGCUUGUGGUCACUAAUCUAAUCUCGUCUUUUUUCGAUGUUCCACUUAGUCUGUCUUUCCUUCUUUCUCCUUCUCCUACUCUUCCUUUUCUGCUUGUUCUCCUUUAUCGUUGUGUGCAUCUGUUCAUUCUCCUUUUCAUUUCCUUUACACACAGUUGUUCUUUCUGUUACUGGGGCUUUCUUAUCUAAUCUUAUUGUUUAUUUCAGUUAUUUAUUCUUUACCUCCUUUUCCCCCUCUUUUUCUUCCUCUUCCUCCUCCUCCUCCUCCUCCUCCUCCUUUUCACCUUCCAUUACACACCAACCUUCUUUUACUUGGACCUUCUAAUUUUCACUCAUAGUUUUUGAUAUUUCUCUUGUUCUUUAUGUCUGUCUCCCGCCUCCUCCUCCUCCUCCUCCACGUAACCUACUUCUCUUCAUUUCUCCUCUGCUCCUUUCUAUAACUGGGACUUCCUUAUUUCUUCUUGCUCUUUUAAAUUCGUUCAUCUAUCCUUUGUCUUUUUCCCUGUCUCAUUUUCUAAUCUUUCUGCUUUAAAUAACUGUUUGCUCGCAUUUGUAAUAUUAUCAUCAUAGUUUAAUCUUUUGUUUUCUCUAUUCUUUUAUUCUCCUUCUCCCUUUCCCUUCUUCCUUUAAUCAUUUCUUCCCUCUUUUCUCCUUUUUUUCUUCAAUUUUUUGUUGCCUCCUCCUCCUCCUCCUCCUACUCCCUUUCGUUUCUUCCUUUCUUUGCCCUUCUCCUCCUCCUCCCCUUUUCCUUCUUCUUUAUCUGUUAUCCACCUGCUACUCUCUUUCUCUUCUUCCAUUCUCUAUUGUUCUCCUCUUCUUCCCUUUCUCUUCCUUUAUUUGUUGUCCUCCUCCUUCUCCCCUUCCCUUCUUCCCAUAUUUAAUGUAUAGUUUGUAAACCAUGUGAUCUUAAUAUUAUUUUUUUAUGCUGCCCGUAAUUUAUCUUUUGUUCUUUUUGAUCAGCGGCGCCAAGCAGUGUGUUUACCUCAUCACGCUGCUGCCCAUUUUUGCUUAAUAUUUUGAUCCACGCUUAUUUUUUUCUCUGUUCCUCCAUGAGUCUGCCGCUUUAGUCUCCCUCACGUCCACGCCUCAUGGUGGUGGUGGCCGAGUGGUCAGAGCUCGUCAGAGGUUCAGGUCCCGCCCACCACUACAAGCAGACAGUUUUCACUUUCCAGUCAUUGCCGAUUGGCCGAAGACAACCCACGUGCUGUCCUGACGACCACUUAACCACCCAGACCCUAGCAGAAGGUGACAAUAUCCUGGAAGAAGGGAAGGAAGGGAAAAGGGAGACGAAGAUAAAAAUGUAUACAUACUCAAUUUCCUAAUUCAUACAUAUAUAAUUUUCCAUACAAGACUCAAUUUUUUCUGGAGAGACAAUGGUAGGCCCGGCUUCAAGUCCCGCCCGCCACUCCAAGCAGACAGUUUUCAGUCAUCGCCGAGUGGCCCAAAACCCAUGCGCAUCCCUCCGACUGCCUGUCAACCCAGACUCAGCAAAACUCAAGAGGAUCAAAUGCAGCUCCAUCGCUUCUCUUCCCUGGGUGUCCAGUCCUUUCUCUCGCUAAAAUGAGAGAAGAGAUAAGAUUAGGAAAAGAUAAUUACCUGUCUUUUAAACCUGACUCUCUCUCUCUCUCUCUCUCUCUCUCUCUCUCUCUCUCUCUCUCUCUCUCUCUCUCUCUCUCUCUCUCUCUCUCUCUCUCUCUCUCUCUCUCACAGACACGAAAGAAUUAUCCUCAUCUCUUUCUUGUCCUUCACUUCUCCUCCUCCUCCUCCUCCUGCGCCUCCUCCCACUCCAUGUAACUCAACUCUCCCGUAAAACUUCCUAAUUCCUCCUCAGAAGCUUCCUCCUCCUCCUCCUACUCCUACUCCAUCAAAAUUUAGGAGUGGCUCUGUCCAUUUCUUCGCUUUUAUUUGCUUGUUUGUGUUUGUGUCAUGAUUCUGAUGUUGAUUUUCUUUGUCUUUUUAUUGUUAAGUCUUAUAAUUAUUGUUUUACUGUUAUUGGUGGUGGUGGUGUACUCAUCAGUAGUAGUAGUAGUAGUAGUAGUAGUAGUAGGAGUGGUAGUUGUAGUGAUAGCAGUAAUAGUAUUUGUGUUGGUUGGAGGUCACAGCCAUUGGCGGGGCGGGGCCAAUGAAUUGUGUUGUGAGAAAAUUAAUAUGCUUCUCACAACACAACUCCUAAUGGAUGGAGGCCACAUGUAAUAGUAGUAGUAGUAGUAGUAGUAGUAGUAGUAGUAGUAGUAGUCGUAGUCGUAGUAGUAGUAGAAGUAGAUACCACACCACCACACCACCACCAUCAUCACCUUCAGAACAUUAAUAAGAAAAAGAGAUAAGGAAAACCCAGACAGCCAGACAGACCCUCGCUUCCCUCUUCACCCCCUUCCCUCCCCUCCCCUCUCAGCCCCUUCCCUCCACCUCCACCCCCCCCCCCCUCCUGCCUCAUCACUUGUCAGGAUCCACUUUGUUCCAUUACCCAGAAACUCCUAGACUGCUUUUUUUCUGUGGCUGUAUUUUUUUUUUUUUUUUUUUUACGUUUCCUUGUUCUUGCUUUGCUGCCUGCCUUGUUUUCUUGUUCUGUUUGGACUUACCUCUCGUUCCUGUCCGCUCCGAUUUCUUUUCUUUCUUUCUUACCCUUCUUUUAUAUACUUUCUUUACUUAUGCAUUCAGAAUUUCCCAUUUAUUGUCUGAUGCUAUUUCCUCGUACGUAUGUUUUGUGAUUUCUUUUUCUGUAACAUUCUAUAGAGUUCCGUAAUACUUUCCUUUCCUUUUGCCCUCAGAAUUUCCUCAGGUUGGGUCCGUGAGCUUUUGAGGAUACUGAAUAGGGAAAAAUGAAGCCGCAUUCUGGGGACAAGGGAGAUGACAAGUGAAGAGGAGGAGCGAGGGAGGUGAGAGGGCAGAGCUUGCAGAUGGAAAGAUACUGAUGCUGUUUGGAAGAGGAAUGCUGAGUGGAGGGUAUUGAAGGAGUUGUUUUGCUGAUGUUUCUGCUGUGUUGCUGCUGCUCUUCCCUCCGGCAACAGUUUGUACCCGUGACGGGCGGCCGUGAUAACACUGGCCUCACAAAUCACGAGUCAAACACUUCAAAGUAGAAUAUUAGGCCAUAGUUGUGUGUCACAGCGAGACCCUACUCAACCAAUCAAUGGGAGCAUACGCCGGGGGACGCGUCGCCUCGCCCAGCCCCGGGGGUCCCUCUUGAGAACAGCCCGGUGCGCGGCUCCACUUCUGGGCAGCGCGAGUCCGUGCCACAGCCGGAGUUGGCGUCCACGGACUAUACAGAUCAGGUGGGCUCAAGCGGUAGAAGCAGUCCACCAAGGGUCACACUCCCCCCCCCCCCCAGUAGAUCACACGAGCCGUUGGGGUGACGGGGCUCGUGCUUCACUCACCGGAGCCAACCCUACGCACAACUUAAGCUUGAAAAAGAAGAGGAGGAGGGAAGAGGAAGAAGAGGAAGAAGAAAUGACAGUAGGAGGAGACAGAAGAUGAAGAAGAGGCAAUAAGAGCGGUGACUGAGUGGUUACCGUGCUGGGCUCACAUUCACCACGCCAUGGACAACGUCGGUUCGAAUCCCCACGCCACCACCUGGAAUUUUUCAGUCACCGCCGAGUGGCCUAAGACUACCCACAUGCUGUCCAGAAGACCACCCAUCAACCCGGACUCUAGAAGAAACCGUCGAGUGAAUCAAAAAUGAGUUUUGGGGGGCAGCAUGAGCCAAGCAUAACUGGCGCCACUAUGAAAAAAAACUGCCUGCGCCACGACGGGCUUGGGCCGACCAUCUGGCCCCUGAAGAAAGCCUACCGGCGCUAUAGGCGGGGAUGUAAAAAAAAAUGAUAAAAAAAUAACCGAAUAUGAUAUAUGAUAUGAUAAGAUAAAACAUUAAUUCCAUAACGUAGCACAGCACUGGUGUCUCAGUAACUGGGUGCAUUUUUUUAAUGUUUUGUGUGUUUCAGGUCCGCCUCCCCACGCUGCCCAAGACUGGUGCCAAGAACGGUUGCCCAAGAUUGGUUCCAAGGACGGUCCGUGACACAUCGCAUGCAUGGGUCCGUCUUCCCACACUGGCCAAGACCGGUGUCAAGGACGGCUGCCCAAGAUUGAUCCAAGGACGGUCUGUGACGCAGCGCAUGAAUGAGUGAGU